UUUUGUUUGCCAAACCAAGGCAAAAACAUCUCAUCAACUCCUCAUCCCCUCCCUUUGACUGCAUCCAAUCGGGCCCUAAGGGUUAGCCCGGUAAUAAAGACUCGAGAGUUAUUAACGGUUUGCUUCCUUUUAAAAUCUCACGUUCGGAAUCACUUAGGUGCUAUCAACUACUUUGAGAUUAGUCUAUACAAAUCUUUGCUUGAUCUGACUUUAAAUGGGGCUUCCGCUAAUAGACGGUGGGUUUGGUUCCCAAGAUUAGUUAAAGUGAGGGAAACUGGCCCGGACACUUGGUUUUAAAAAAAAAAAAAUGCACUUAUCUCCCAUUAUGGGCUUUAGACCAUGAAACUGUUCUCAGUAGCCCAGAUGAUGCCCAAACUCGACAAAAACAAAAAUCUAGCCCAAACUCUCUUGACUGACUUCUGAAGCCGAAGCCUUUGGAUCAUAAAUCUAUGGAGGUUAUGAUGGAAAAACCACCCACCAAGGGGUGGCUUACUCCCAAGUGGCCCAAGGUUUCGAGUCGUGUGAUCGAUGACCCCUUGAAUUUUGCUCUUCUAUGAAACCUGUGUUCCACUAACUAUUGGUGGGACGGUAGGAUGGCUUUUUGGUCCUUUAUAGGGACAGCCGUGGAUCUGCAAUUUCUAUGCUCACGUACAUAGAAAGGUUGCUAUGGUCUCUACC
Molecule: long non-coding RNA, 678 nt
Organism: Rhododendron vialii
Lineage: Eukaryota; Viridiplantae; Streptophyta; Magnoliopsida; Ericales; Ericaceae
Exons: 2
Source: RefSeq, a predicted model, not a curated record